GACGAACGCUGGCGGCGUGCUUAACACAUGCAAGUCGAACGGAAAGGCCCUGCUUUUGUGGGGUGCUCGAGUGGCGAACGGGUGGGUAACACGUGAGUAACCUGCCCUUGACUUUGGGAUAACUUCAGGAAACUGGGGCUAAUACCGGAUAGGAGCUCCUGCUGCAUGGUGGGGGUUGGAAAGUUUCGGCGGUUGGGGAUGGACUCGCGGCUUAUCAGCUUGUUGGUGGGGUAGUGGCUUACCAAGGCUUUGACGGGUAGCCGGCCUGAGAGGGUGACCGGCCACAUUGGGACUGAGAUACGGCCCAGACGCCUACGGGAGGCAGCAGUGGAGAAUAUUGCACAAUGGGCGGAAGCCUGAUGCAGCAACGCCGCGUGCGGGAUGACGGCCUUCGGGUUGUAAACCGCUUUCGCCUGUGACGAAGCGUGAGUGACGGUAAUGGGUAAAGAAGCACCGGCUAACUACGUG
This 468-nucleotide ribosomal RNA is filed under the name uncultured bacterium. RNAcentral describes it as "partial 16S ribosomal RNA". It matches the Rfam family "Bacterial small subunit ribosomal RNA", at positions 28 to 507 of the family's 1533-position model. The record is from RNAcentral.